Molecule: ribosomal RNA, 380 nt
Filed under: uncultured bacterium
Lineage: Bacteria
Description: bacterial SSU rRNA
Rfam family: Bacterial small subunit ribosomal RNA
Source: RNAcentral
GAUGAACGCUAGCGGCAGGCUUAAUACAUGCAAGUCGAGGGGCAACAGGGGUAGCAAUACCUGCUGGCGACCGGCAAACGGGUGUGGAACACGUACAGAACCUUCCUCUGAGUGGGGAUAGCCCGGAGAAAUCCGGAUUAAUACCCCAUAGUAUUGUUGGGUGGCAUCACCUGAUGAUUAAAGAUUUAUUGCUUAGAGAUGGCUGUGCGGCUGAUUAGGAGUUGGUGUAGGUAAAGGCUCACCAAGCCGGCGAUCAGUAACUGGUGUGAGAGCACGACCAGUCACACGGGCACUGAGACACGGGCCCGACUCCUACGGGAGGCAAGCAGUAAGGAAUAUUGGUCAAUGGAGCAAACUCUGAACCAGCCAUGCCGCGUGAA